GAUGAACGCUGGCGGCGUGCCUAAAACAUGCAAGUCGAGCGAACAGACGAGGAGCUUGCUCCUCUGACGUUAGCGGCGGACGGGUGAGUAACACGUGGAUAACCUACCUAUAAGACUGGGAUAACUUCGGGAAACCGGAGCUAAUACCGGAUAAUAUAUUGAACCGCAUGGUUCAAUAGUGGAAGACGGUUUUGCUGUCACUUAUAGAUGGAUCCGCGCCGCAUUAGCUAGUUGGUAAGGUAACGGCUUACCAAGGCAACGAUGCGUAGCCGACCUGAGAGGGUGAUCGGCCACACUGGAACUGAGACACGGUCCAGACUCCUACGGGAGGCAGCAGUAGGGAAUCUUCCGCAAUGGGCGAAAGCCUGACGGAGCAACGCCGCGUGAGUGAUGAAGGUCUUCGGAUCGUAAAACUCUGUUAUUAGGGAAGAACAAAUGUGUAAGUAACUAUGCACGUCUUGACGGUACCUAAUCAGAAAGCCACGGCUAACUACGUG
RNAcentral lists this ribosomal RNA (497 nucleotides) under uncultured bacterium. RNAcentral's name for it is "partial 16S ribosomal RNA". It matches the Rfam family "Bacterial small subunit ribosomal RNA", at positions 28 to 507 of the family's 1533-position model. The record is from RNAcentral.